UACGUAGGGUGCGAGCGUUAAUCGGAAUUACUGGGCGUAAAGCGUGCGCAGGCGGUUUUGCCAGACCGGUGUGAAAUCCCCGGGCUCAACCUGGGAACUGCAUUUGUGACUGCAUGGCUGGAGUGCGGCAGAGGGGGAUGGAAUUCCGCGUGUAGCAGUGAAAUGCGUAGAUAUGCGGAGGAACACCGAUGGCGAAGGCAGCACUCUGGGACGUGACUGACGCUGAGACGCGAAAGCGUGGGGAGCAAACAGG
This 253-nucleotide ribosomal RNA is filed under the name uncultured bacterium. RNAcentral's name for it is "partial 16S ribosomal RNA". It matches the Rfam family "Bacterial small subunit ribosomal RNA", at positions 524 to 776 of the family's 1533-position model. The record is from RNAcentral.